Molecule: ribosomal RNA, 621 nt
Filed under: Marinobacter sp. AMHSU
Lineage: Bacteria; Pseudomonadati; Pseudomonadota; Gammaproteobacteria; Pseudomonadales; Marinobacteraceae
Description: bacterial SSU rRNA
Rfam family: Bacterial small subunit ribosomal RNA
Source: RNAcentral
GACCUUGCGCUAUUGGAUGAGCCUAAGUCGGAUUAGCUAGUUGGUGAGGUAAAGGCUCACCAAGGCCACGAUCCGUAGCUGGUUUGAGAGGAUGAUCAGCCACAUCGGGACUGAGACACGGCCCGAACUCCUACGGGAGGCAGCAGUGGGGAAUAUUGGACAAUGGGGGCAACCCUGAUCCAGCCAUGCCGCGUGUGUGAAGAAGGCUUUCGGGUUGUAAAGCACUUUCAGCGAGGAGGAAGGCUCUAAAGCUAAUACCUUUAGGGAUUGACGUUACUCGCAGAAGAAGCACCGGCUAACUCCGUGCCAGCAGCCGCGGUAAUACGGAGGGUGCAAGCGUUAAUCGGAAUUACUGGGCGUAAAGCGCGCGUAGGUGGUUGAGUAAGCGAGAUGUGAAAGCCCCGGGCUUAACCUGGGAACGGCAUUUCGAACUGCUCGGCUAGAGUGUGGUAGAGGGUAGUGGAAUUUCCUGUGUAGCGGUGAAAUGCGUAGAUAUAGGAAGGAACACCAGUGGCGAAGGGGCUACCUGGACCAACACUGACACUGAGGUGCGAAGCGUGGGGGAGCAAACAGGAUUAGAUACCCUGGUAGUCCACGCCGUAACGAUGUCACUAGCCGUUG